This 933-nucleotide unclassified non-coding RNA is filed under the name Hevea brasiliensis (rubber tree). Lineage: Eukaryota; Viridiplantae; Streptophyta; Magnoliopsida; Malpighiales; Euphorbiaceae. The record is from RNAcentral.
GAGAUAUUCAGUCCAUGAGCUUGAGAGUCUUGAGCAUAGUGGGAUUGACAACACUGUAGCCUCCAUCGACCACAAGAUUAAGGCCGCUGACAUAGUUGGCAUCGUCGCUAGCCAAGUAGAGCGCAGCCUUGGCUAUGUCGUCGGCCUUAAGGACACGACCUUUGAGAUUGGCCCAGGUGGUGACCAUGGUCUCGAGCGCCUCCGCUUGCAUCGGGUCUCUGGACCCUGCAAUCCCGGUGGCCACGACGAAGGGGGCGACACAGUUGACUCUGAUCCCGUGUUGGCCGAGCUCGGCAGCUAGGUUCCUAACCAGCCCUAGGACAGCGCAUUUGGAGGCUGCGUAUGGGUGUGAUGAGAGGCCAGCAAUGUUGGUGGUUGCGCUGCUUGUGAAUAGAAUGCACCCAUUUUUCUCCGGUAUCAUUACUCUGGCUGCAUGCUUUGCUCCCCAAAAUGCUCCCAUCACGUUCACGCCCAACACCUUGUCCAAGUCAGAUUUUGUAACGUCCAAUAUGCCGCUAAAGGAACGGUCGAGAACGCCGGCGUUGCUGUACAUGAUGUCGAGCUUGCCAUGCCGGUGCACGGCGGCGUCCACCAGAUUGCUGACGUCGUCUUCCUUCGACACAUCGCAGUGGAUAUAGCUUACGUCAUCGCCGAGUUCGUCGGCGAUUUUUUGGCCGAUUUCGUCUUGGAUAUCGGCGAUUAUCACUUUCGCUCCAUUUUCAUGGAAAAUUCGCACUGCACUAGUUCCGAUCCCGCUUGCGCCUCCGGUGAUGAUCGCCACCUUUCCAUCCAGCCUUCUAAGAGGAGUCGGAGAGCGAUUAAGAGUCAUCUUCUUCAACAAGAAAUGCAGAAAUGAAGGAAGCGGUAGAAGGGAGAGAAAGAGAGAGCUUUGGAUUUUGCUUUGAAGGGUGAGAUUUUAUGAUACUUGCUGUU